UACGUAAUCACAAGGUAGCCUGUACCACACCUCGUGCAGUUUCCGCUCGCGUGCGGAAAAUAUAGCGGCGCGUGACAAACGCACAUGGUCGUUUGGCGUGGUGAUGCGAGUUUGGAGAGUCGGUGCAAACUGAAUUGUACGCCGUGUUGCUCGCCUUGGAUUCCAGUGCCGAAGGACUUCCCACCCUCCAAUACAGCUUUUCCCGCAUUGCUAUGAGCUCACCAUGUGACCACAUUGUUGCAGUAGCGUACCACACGGCACCCUAUGGACUGCUGGGCGUCAACACAGUUCCUCCUCUUCUGUACUGAAAGGGAUGAGACUUGUCACUGACUCAUAACAAUGAUGGAAGACCUCGGGACUGAAUUCAGGGGGUGAUAUCUUGAAAAUGGGAGCGCUCCGGUUCAGAACUAAUGAGGCUGCAUGCGGGGUUUGUUUGGACUGGAAAGGGAACACUUUAAAGCAGUUGCAGUCACUGCUUUUUAGGGUUGUGGCCAAGCUGGUUAAAAUGUCUGUGGUAAAAGUAAGUAUAACAUGUAGAAAAAAAAUGUAGUGUGCUUAAAAAAAAAAAAAGGGGGAAAGAAAAAAACAGCUGCCAUUUUGAA
Molecule: long non-coding RNA, 602 nt
Organism: Cyprinus carpio (common carp)
Lineage: Eukaryota; Metazoa; Chordata; Actinopteri; Cypriniformes; Cyprinidae
Source: RefSeq, a predicted model, not a curated record